Molecule: long non-coding RNA, 360 nt
Organism: Felis catus (domestic cat)
Lineage: Eukaryota; Metazoa; Chordata; Mammalia; Carnivora; Felidae
Exons: 2
Source: RefSeq, a predicted model, not a curated record
GCUUAUCGACAAUAAAUAUAUACUGACCCGGACAUUCUCUCUUUACUAGCAUAAUGCCAAUGGAUUUUCAUCAUUAAAAGAUCCUCAAAUGGACAGUUGAAUUUUCAAAGCUUUCAAACAAAGUAUAUAUUGAACUUGCAGCUUGGUUGGUACUUUCCUCCAAAGAUAAUCCUAGUCACUGUCGACAACAUUGGAAACUUCAAUAGUCGGAACUGGAGGCCUUCACCAGAAAGCAGUCCUUUACUCAUGUUUUUGCUCUACCUUUCACUCCUGAAAUCAACUUUGGUAUAAGUAUGAUCCUCAGUUAUCAGACCCUAUCAUACAUCUAUGAAAUUUGAAAAUAAACAGGUGUUUAAAAUA